GGGGGAAUAUUGGACAAUGGGCGAAAGCCUGAUCCAGCAAUGCCGCGUGAGUGAUGAAGGCCUUAGGGUUGUAAAGCUCUUUUACCAGGGAUGAUAAUGACAGUACCUGGAGAAUAAGCUCCGGCUAACUCCGUGCCAGCAGCCGCGGUAAUACGGAGGGAGCUAGCGUUGUUCGGAAUUACUGGGCGUAAAGCGCACGUAGGCGGCUACUCAAGUCAGGGGUGAAAUCCCGGGGCUCAACCCCGGAACUGCCUCUGAAACUAGGUAGCUAGAAUCUUGGAGAGGUCAGUGGAAUUCCGAGUGUAGAGGUGAAAUUCGUAGAUAUUCGGAAGAACACCAGUGGCGAAGGCGACUGACUGGACAAGUAUUGACGCUGAGGUGCGAAAGCGUGGGGAGCAA
This 399-nucleotide ribosomal RNA is filed under the name uncultured bacterium. RNAcentral's name for it is "bacterial SSU rRNA". It matches the Rfam family "Bacterial small subunit ribosomal RNA", at positions 355 to 771 of the family's 1533-position model. The record is from RNAcentral.